UACGUAGGGGGCUAGCGUUGUCCGGAAUCAUUGGGCGUAAAGCGCGCGUAGGUGGCUUCGUAAGUCCGUUGUGAAAGUCAAAGGCUCAACCUUUGAAUGCCGAUGGAUACUGCGGAGCUAGAGUACGGAAGAGGCGAGUGGAAUUCCUGGUGUAGCGGUGGAAUGCGCAGAUAUCAGGAGGAACACCAAUGGCGAAGGCAGCUCGCUGGGACGUUACUGACGCUAAGGCGCGAAAGCGUGGGGAGCGAACAGG
This 253-nucleotide ribosomal RNA is filed under the name uncultured bacterium. Its description in RNAcentral is "partial 16S ribosomal RNA". It matches the Rfam family "Bacterial small subunit ribosomal RNA", at positions 524 to 776 of the family's 1533-position model. The record is from RNAcentral.